AUGGCCCUGAAUCAAGGCCGGCAGCCUCCUGACGCUGCUGGUUUCAAGCAGGAACCUGAAGAGAUGUCUUUCUGGGACCCGCGCCUUGCUGGGACCUGGAGCAGUGGAAAACUAA
Small nucleolar RNA from Cavia aperea (Brazilian guinea pig), 115 nucleotides. NCBI's taxonomy places the organism in Eukaryota, Metazoa, Chordata, Mammalia, Rodentia, Caviidae. The record is from Ensembl.